This 400-nucleotide ribosomal RNA is filed under the name Diploneis sp. H_17941. Its description in RNAcentral is "SSU rRNA". It matches the Rfam family "Eukaryotic small subunit ribosomal RNA", at positions 567 to 979 of the family's 1831-position model. The record is from RNAcentral. Lineage: Eukaryota; Bacillariophyta; Bacillariophyceae; Diploneidales; Diploneidaceae.
CCAGCAGCUGCGGUAAUUCCAGCUCCAAUAGCGUAUAUUAAAGUUGUUGCAGUUAAAAAGCUCGUAGUUGGAUUUGUGGUACGCUGCGUGGCCCAAUUUUGGUGCCGUCGCGGCGGACCAUCCUUGGGUGGAACCUGUGUGGCAUUAAGUUGUCGUGCAGGGGAUGCCCAUCGUUUACUGUGAAAAAAUUAGAGUGUUCAAAGCAGGCUUAUGCCGUUGAAUAUAUUAGCAUGGAAUAAUAAGAUAAGACUUCGGUACUAUUUUGUUGGUUUGCGCACCGAUGUAAUGAUUAAUAGGGACAGUUGGGGGUAUUCGUAUUCCAUUGUCAGAGGUGAAAUUCUUGGAUUUUUGGAAGACGAACUACUGCGAAAGCAUUUACCAAGGAUGUUUUCAUUAAUCA